This 453-nucleotide ribosomal RNA is filed under the name uncultured Porphyromonadaceae bacterium. RNAcentral describes it as "partial 16S ribosomal RNA". It matches the Rfam family "Bacterial small subunit ribosomal RNA", at positions 341 to 792 of the family's 1533-position model. The record is from RNAcentral. Lineage: Bacteria; Pseudomonadati; Bacteroidota; Bacteroidia; Bacteroidales; Porphyromonadaceae.
ACGGAAGGCAGCAGUGAGGAAUAUUGGUCAAUGGGCGGAAGCCUGAACCAGCCAAGUCGCGUGAAGGAAGACGGUAUUAUGUAUUGUAAACCUCUUUAGACGCAGAGAAAUAAGGUGCUCGCGAGCACUGAUGCUAGUAUGCGUAGAAUAAGGAUCGGCUAACUCCGUGCCAGCAGCCGCGGUAAUACGGAGGAUCCGAGCGUUAUCCGGAUUUAUUGGGUUUAAAGGGUGCGCAGGCGGCGCUUUAAGUCAGUGGUCAAAUCGUGAGGCUCAACCUCAUCCCGCCAUUGAUACUGGAGCGCUUGAUUGCGGUUGAGGUAGGCGGAAUUCGUCGUGUAGCGGUGAAAUGCAUAGAUAUGACGAAGAACCCCGAUUGCGUAGGCAGCUUACCAAGCCGUAAAUGACGCUCAUGCACGAAAGUGCGGGGAUCGAACAGGAUUAGAUACCCUGGUA